This 253-nucleotide ribosomal RNA is filed under the name uncultured bacterium. Its description in RNAcentral is "partial 16S ribosomal RNA". It matches the Rfam family "Bacterial small subunit ribosomal RNA", at positions 524 to 776 of the family's 1533-position model. The record is from RNAcentral.
UACAGAGGUCUCAAGCGUUGUUCGGAUUCAUUGGGCGUAAAGGGUGCGUAGGCGGUCGCGCAAGUCGGAUGUGAAAUCUCAGGGCUCAACCCUGAAACUGCAUUCGAUACUGCGUGGCUAGAGUGCUGGAGGGGAGACUGGAAUUUACGGUGUAGCAGUGAAAUGCGUAGAUAUCGUAAGGAAGACCAGUGGCGAAGGCGAGUCUCUGGACAGCAACUGACGCUGAGGCACGAAGGCCAGGGGAGCAAACGGG